Molecule: ribosomal RNA, 490 nt
Filed under: uncultured bacterium
Lineage: Bacteria
Description: partial 16S ribosomal RNA
Rfam family: Bacterial small subunit ribosomal RNA
Source: RNAcentral
GUGAACGCUGGCGGUAGGCCUAACACAUGCAAGUCGAACGGCAGCACAGUAAGAGCUUGCUCUUACGGGUGGCGAGUGGCGGACGGGUGAGGAAUACAUCGGAAUCUACUUUUUCGUGGGGGAUAACGUAGGGAAACUUACGCUAAUACCGCAUACGACCUACGGGUGAAAGCAGGGGAUCUUCGGACCUUGCGCGAUUGAAUGAGCCGAUGUCGGAUUAGCUAGUUGGCGGGGUAAAGGCCCACCAAGGCGACGAUCCGUAGCUGGUCUGAGAGGAUGAUCAGCCAACCUGGAACGGAGACACGGUCCGAACUCCUACGGGAGGCAGCAGUGGGGAAUAUUGGACAAUGGGCGCAAGCCUGAACCAGCCAUACGGCGGGGGUGAAGAAGGCCUUCGGGUUGUAAAGCCCUUUUGUUGGGAAAAAAAAGCAGCAGGUUAAAACCCCGCUGUUUUGGCGGUACCAAAAGAAUAAGCACCGGCAAACUCCGU